This 468-nucleotide ribosomal RNA is filed under the name uncultured bacterium. Its description in RNAcentral is "partial 16S ribosomal RNA". It matches the Rfam family "Bacterial small subunit ribosomal RNA", at positions 29 to 507 of the family's 1533-position model. The record is from RNAcentral.
ACGAACGCUGGCGGCGUGCUUAACACAUGCAAGUCGAACGGUGAAGCGAGUGCUUGCACUCGUGGAUCAGUGGCGAACGGGUGAGUAACACGUGAGUAACCUGCCCAUCACUCUGGGAUAAGCACUGGAAACGGUGUCUAAUACUGGAUACGACCAACCCUUGCAUGGGGUGUUGGUGGAAAGAUUUAUCGGUGAUGGAUGGACUCGCGGCCUAUCAGCUUGUUGGCGGGGUAAUGGCCCACCAAGGCGACGACGGGUAGCCGGCCUGAGAGGGUGACCGGCCACACUGGGGCUGAGACACGGCCCAGACUCCUACGGGAGGCAGCAGUGGGGAAUAUUGCACAAUGGGCGAAAGCCUGAUGCAGCGACGCCGCGUGAGGGAUGACGGCCUUCGGGUUGUAAACCUCUUUCAGCAGGGAAGAAGCGAAAGUGACGGUACCUGCAGAAGAAGCACCGGCUAACUACGUG